RNAcentral lists this small nucleolar RNA (98 nucleotides) under Brassica napus (rape). Its description in RNAcentral is "Plant small nucleolar RNA R71". It matches the Rfam family "Plant small nucleolar RNA R71". Rfam says of the family: R71 is a member of the C/D box family of snoRNAs containing the C (UGAUGA) and D (CUGA) box motifs. The record is from Rfam by way of RNAcentral. Lineage: Eukaryota; Viridiplantae; Streptophyta; Magnoliopsida; Brassicales; Brassicaceae.
AAUCCAUGGUGAGGACAUUCUCUGCGGUAGUCAUUAUAACGCUCCCAUGCGUCACAAAAAGGCUUAUGUCUGAAAGAGGUGAUCUUGUUCCUCAAUGC